Molecule: non-coding RNA, 117 nt
Organism: Caenorhabditis elegans
Lineage: Eukaryota; Metazoa; Nematoda; Chromadorea; Rhabditida; Rhabditidae
Source: Ensembl
ACCUCAUCAUAUCCUUCAGUGUGUAAUAAUAAGACAUCCUUCGUUGUGGAGGGCGAUGCCUCGUACUUUCACUGAGAGAGGUCCUUCACAAUUUAUUCAUGUAAACGUUACAAGGAG